Molecule: ribosomal RNA, 429 nt
Filed under: Gemmatimonadota bacterium
Lineage: Bacteria; Pseudomonadati; Gemmatimonadota
Description: Gemmatimonadetes bacterium partial 16S ribosomal RNA
Rfam family: Bacterial small subunit ribosomal RNA
Source: RNAcentral
UAGGGAAUCUUCGGCAAUGGACGAAAGCCUGACCGAGCAACGCCGCGUGGGUGAAGAAGGUUUUCGGCUCGUAAAACACUGUUGUCAGAGAAGAACAAGGACGUUAGUAACUGAAAGUACCCUGACGGUAUCUAACCAGAAAGCCACGGGUAACUACGUGGCAGCAGCCGCGGUAAUACGUAGGUGGCAAGCGUUGUGCGGAUUUAGUGGGCGUAAAGCGAGCGGAGGCGGUUUCUUAAGUCUGAUGUGAAAGCCCCCGGCUCAACCGGGGAGGGUCAUUGGAAACUGGGAGACUUGAGUGCAGAAGAGGAUAGUGGAAUUCCAUGUGUAGCGGUGAAAUGCGUAGAUAUAUGGAGGAACACCGGUGGCGAAGGCGGCCCUCUGGCCUGUUACUGACGCUGAGGCUCGAAAGCGUGGGGAGCAAACAGG